Molecule: ribosomal RNA, 447 nt
Filed under: uncultured bacterium
Lineage: Bacteria
Description: bacterial SSU rRNA
Rfam family: Bacterial small subunit ribosomal RNA
Source: RNAcentral
CCAGACUCCUACGGGAGGCAGCAGUGGGGAAUAUUGCACAAUGGGGGGAACCCUGAUGCAGCGACGCCGCGUGGGUGAAGAAGCGCCUCGGCGCGUAAAGCCCUGUCAGCAGGGAAGAAAAUGACGGUACCUGAAGAAGAAGCCCCGGCUAACUACGUGCCAGCAGCCGCGGUAAUACGUAGGGGGCAAGCGUUAUCCGGAUUCACUGGGUGUAAAGGGAGCGUAGACGGCGACGCAAGUCUGGAGUGAAAGCCCGGGGCCCAACCCCGGGACUGCUCUGGAAACUGCGUCGCUGGAGUACGGGAGGGGCAGGCGGAAUUCCUGGUGUAGCGGUGAAAUGCGUAGAUAUCAGGAGGAACACCGGUGGCGAAGGCGGCCUGCUGGACUGCAACUGACGUUGAGGCCCGAAAGCGUGGGGAGCAAACAGGAUUAGAUACCCCGGUAUAU